GGAAACUAACUAGCGCUAGCUACGUUUGAAGCAACCGAAAGAAGGGUUUUCUAUUUUGGCUACUAGGCAACAUCGCAAAGGCCACAAACAUGUAUUUAUGUUCUUCAAUUGCCAAUGCUGGAACUGCUCCUCCCUGCGUUGCGUUGUUGGUAUUCUUUUACUUUUAGAUAGAUAGUCAAUAAUAUUAUUAUAGUUAAUGCUCCUUAUCAACUCGUCAUUCAAGUUGGACGCUGUCUCUGCUGCACUUGGGAGUAUCACCUCUGCUCAGCUGAAGGUAGCUAGGCCGGGCACUCGGUCUACUCCGACGACGGUGCUGGCUACAGUCGUGGCAUUUAAAGCAACGUUAACUAUAAUAGCCACUUGGUUUUCAGACAGCGUACAGUAGCUGGCUUCGACCACUGACAAAGAGUGACAUUGCUGUUUUCGCUAGAGCUAACGCUGCUUGCUAUUUAGCGUACAUCUUUUCAGAGGAAGACUUCGGAGGGAGAUAUGUAACUUGAUGCAGUACCAGGUGGCAUCCGGCGAUCCAGUUAACAUCCUAUCCAAGUGACCCGGGCCGAGCGGGUCGUGCGAGAGCAGGCUGGGGGAGCAGGCGCGCGGAGCAGCCAUGUUGGAGGAAGAUAUGGAGGUGGCCCUCAAGGUGGUGGUAGUGGGGAACGGGGCCGUGGGCAAGUCCAGCAUGAUCCAGCGCUACUGCAAAGGCAUCUUCACCCGCGACUACAAGAAGACCAUCGGCGUGGACUUCCUGGAGAGACAGAUACUGGUGAACGAUGAGGAGGUGAGGUUGAUGCUGUGGGACACGGCGGGACAGGAGGAGUUUGACGCCAUCACCAAGGCCUACUACCGCGGAGCCCAGGCGUGUGUGCUGGUGUUCUCCACCACAGACAGGGACUCGUUCCAGGCCAUCGGCAGCUGGAGAGAAAAGGUUGAGAUGGAGGUGGGGGUCAUCCCCACGGUCCUGGUGCAGAACAAGAUCGACCUGCUGGACGAGACUGUCAUCAAGAACGAGGAGGCCGAGGCUCUGGCCAAGCGGCUGAAGCUGCGCUUCUACCGGGCGUCUGUGAAGGAGGACCUCAAUGUUACUGAGGUUUUCAAAUACCUAGCAGAUAAAUAUCUUCAGAGACUAAAGCGACAAACGGCCGAGGAACCUGAAGUGGUUCACACGACGAGCAAUAAAAUAGGCGUCUUCAACACCACGAGUGGCCCCCUCUCCAGCCAGAGCUCCAGUAACGGGCGUGAGGUCAUAAGCCUGAGGCCCAACAAGCAGAGGACCAAGAGGAACAAGAACCCGUUUGGCAGCUGCAGCCUGCUGUAGCUCCACCUGCUGCUGGAGGUGAGGCUGCAGCCUGCUGUAGCUCCACCUGCUGCUGGAGGUGAGGCUGCAGCCUGCUGUAGCUCCACCUGCUGCUGGAGGUGAGGCUGCAGCCUGCUGUAGCUCCACCUGCUGCUGGAGGUGAGGCUGCAGCCUGCUGUAGCUCCACCUGCUGCUGGAGGUGAGGCUGCAGCCUGCUGUAGCUCCACCUGCUGCUGGAGGUGAGGCUGCAGCCUGCUGUAGCUCUACCUGCUGCUGGAGGUGAGGCUGCAGCCUGCUGUAGCUCCACCUGCUGCUGGAGGUGAGGCUGCAGCCUGCUGUAGCUCCACCUGCUGCUGGAGAAACCAGAGGCUGCACAAGAGAGAUGUCACCCCGCGUAGCCUGCUCUGACCAGCAGCCGCGUCACACGUCUGUGGUCGCGGCCGCCGUGAAACUGCACCGGAUCCUGCCCUUUCAACUCCCCCGCCCCCCCUAGUGGCUGCACCGCAGUACGACAACCCUACAGCAGCAACCGAAUGGGCCGAGUCCAUGGGAAUGUAGUUCGGGUUUGCCAUUAUUUCAGUUUCCCCCUCACAAACGCUGCAGGAUCAAGGUUACACUAAAAUCAUUAACUCAACACUUCUGUGUAUGCAUGCAUGGUCAUAUGUGAUUUCUACAGGUUAUCCAUGUGAGUUGACUGUUCAUCUGUGCAAUACUGUUUUGUUUUGUAACAUUUCUUUGCACCAUAUUUUUCUAAUGACUAGGCUAAUAGAAUAUGGUUCAACAUAGACUGUGGAUCAUGGAUAUGAAAAGAGAUGGGUAAAGUGGUCUUUUCUUUCAAAGGUAUUUUUAUAUGACUCUAAACAGUGUUUUAACAUUAGUUAUUUUUGUGCCAAAUAGUUAAUAAAUGUCACUUUAUUGUUGUAAGAAAUGUCAAUAUUUUUAAGAGAGACUGCAGUGGUUGGUUUGUAAUAUGGCAACUUCUUAAUAGAAUGUGAUCUUAUACGACCAAAUAUUACCGGAUAUUCGCACAAAACCCUCUCGAAAAGAGGUCUUAUAAAACGUUGAGUGUUUGUGGAGCGCGUGUCAGCAGUGAAAGUUCAAUUUCGUGAAAUACUCGUCUCUGAAUCUCUCUUUGAAACUAGCACAUAUUGUAAAUGCAGAGGUGCGUACUGGUAAAUGUCAUAAUAGCGGACCCACUUUUCUUUUUUUGUCGAUUUGAUAGCAUUGGAAAAAAAAAGUCUUGUUUACAUUUUCGUCCUUGCUGCAUUAGGUCAUACCUUUCAUUUGCUUAGCCUUCAUUGUGGUACGGUGGUUUUUGUAUAGGGAGGAUAUCCCUCGUGCUAAUCUUGCAUAAUAUGUCAUUCAGAUAGUGUUUUAAUUACGACUUGUGAACACUACAUAUUAUAAAUGUACUAAAAGUAUAUAUUUUAUGUUAAAGGAAAGAUUUAACAUUUCAGAUAUUUGUCUCUCGCAUGAAAGACUCCUUUCUUUGUGUCGAGCACCCGUCAGAGGUGUCCACUCCCUUCCUCACCGUAGUCUCUGAUCCUACAUGACUGAGUGGGUUAGCUCGUGCCUCGAAGACACAGCUGUUAACAAUCCAGUCGUGAGAUACCGGUAUCUCAACGUGAAGGAGGAAAGAGGGGUUUAAAUUCCUGCGGCCCUCUCUGCCCAGUGCUGGAAUGUGUCAGCGUGAUGCCUGGUCUUAUCGUCCGUCUCACCGCUGUGGUGCCUUGUCUGUCCAGGGCAUCAAGUGUCUGUUCAGAGUUUUGAGGAGAUCAUCAGGCGGAAAAAACACAAUGUAUAAUCUGUAAUAGUAGGGAAAGCACUUCAAACUCCACGUGAAGUGUCAGUGGUGUUCUGCCUCCAAUUUUGCAACGUUUGUAUGAAGUGAUUAUCUACGUUCUGGGGAAAUCACCACGUAGACGGGUGAAGUGUCGGCCAUGUUUUGAUUUUGAUUUUUGCUACUGUAGGUGUUACCGUGUGUUUUGUUGCCUGGGUUUGCUCUUAGCUCUGCACGGAUAAACAGGAGCCCUUGUCUCGUCUCCAUGACAUGACAUCCCAAGUUGGUUGGUAUUACAACUGUAUUUAUCGUGACAGUGUAAUUAGACAUCAACACGGGCCUUUAUCAAUAACCCAAGGGUCCCUGUAUUAAAGGAUCAUUCUACUGUAUACUGGUGCCUGUGUUAGUGUUUGGAUAUCAGUGGUGUAUAGAUAGGUACAUGCAUGCCUAAUGGUAGUUCGGUUUUUCUGCGAGUGAAUGAAUGUAGAACCACGAUGCCUUGUCCUGUGUGCUCACCAGCGCUCGUCUCUGCUCGCCCAAGGGUCCCUGUUGAAAACACAUACCGCUAACAGAACGUCAGCCUUUGGUGGUUUAGUCGUUCAACAUUAAGUUACUUUGUUCCGCUAAAACGGAUUCAAGGCACUUUAACAAUCAGACGACACCUCGUACGGUGUCUCCUGAAGAAAAAAAAUAACAUUUUACAAUUAAGUGCAGUCUUGGGUGUUGAAUGCUUUGCUGUAAAACCCGUUCUGUAACAAUGUUACACGUGCUACAUGUUGAUUUCGACACAGCGUAGUGUUGGUCUUGGCCUCUUGAUUUGCUUGUUUUGUUCUCAAUCCAUCCUAAAUGUACUUUCCAACCAGCUGGGGGCGUAACAGAGAUCCUAACACGUGGGGCGUUAUUGGAAACAAAGUGUUUAAUUGGUGAUUUAUAACAUAAAAUUAAAAAACUCUUCUUUGAUUGUU
RNA transcript from Osmerus eperlanus (European smelt), 4039 nucleotides. It is a transcript of the gene named RAB23, member RAS oncogene family, with no coding region annotated. Lineage: Eukaryota; Metazoa; Chordata; Actinopteri; Osmeriformes; Osmeridae. The record is from RefSeq and is a predicted model, not a curated record. The transcript has 8 exons.